Glycine soja is the source of this 4246-nucleotide long non-coding RNA. RefSeq lists it as uncharacterized. The record is from RefSeq and is a predicted model, not a curated record. The transcript is spliced from 11 exons. NCBI's taxonomy places the organism in Eukaryota, Viridiplantae, Streptophyta, Magnoliopsida, Fabales, Fabaceae.
ACUGCGCAGGUUUGGUAAUUGGAAAUAACCCGAACCAAACGGUCACACAUGACCGAAGAAACAAAUAGGCAGAGUGAUCUGAUAUAAUAAGCUAUUUUUCACGCACCAUUUAACCACACUCUAAAACCCCCUUCUCCGAUUUAAGCUCUUUCCGGUCCCAAUUUUGCAGAUUCGACCGAUCUCGCAACAGGUUUUUCUGUAUUCCCUUACUUGAUCUCGCAAUUUGCUUUUCAUUUUCAUUUGCCGGAUUGAUUCCUCAAUUGCGCGGUCAUUUGUUAGUUCUUUUUUUUUCCUCUCAAUUUUCUGGAAUAUUGUGAUGAUUUAUGAAUCUGCCUUUAAAAUUAUGACGCAGCGUAAUGGGCCCUUCUUGAUUGGUUUCUUUUUUCUGCCAUUUCGGCAGUGUUUAAGGUUCUAAAAAAGGUUUCGGACCAAAGCAUAGAGGUUUUAGGUUUUUAUAGUGCCAGUUCUUUUCACUUGUGGCAUUAGGGUUUUUGUGACGUUUGGUUGAAGACUUUCUGUCUCCAUGGAUCUUUCAGACCUUAAUUCCGCUGAAAUGCAGAAGUUCUACUCUUAGGUAAGCAAGUUCACACUCCAAAUUCCAUUUCGAAACUUCACCAGCUUCAACGCUCGACACUUUCUCUCUCUCUCUCUCUCUCUCUCAAUCAUUCGCUGUUAUGUGAGAUUGAAAAAAAGACAGUGAGUUUUGAGCGCAAUGCAACUCUAAAUGACAUCUUCCAGCAGCGUUUCACCAAAACCCCCACUCUCGUCAAUGGCUUUUCCAACCUCUACGCCAUGGAGGUGGAUCCUACUGUUGAGCAUGAGGACAUGGGUGGCGCUGAUGGGAUGGACUCCUUGUUCUCCGAGCUCGCCGGCGCGAUUCCCAGGAUUGAUGAGGCCAUGAGCUUUGCUGAGAUGUUGAAGGCUAUUGCAAUGGAAGGAACAGAAAACAGAGUCUCAUUACUGACUAUCCACUCAAAAUAUUGGUGCUUGAUAUUUGCAAAGAUACCAUUGUGGGUGAUGAAAUGCAGAGAGGUGUAUCUGGUGGCCAAAAGAAGCGUGUAACCACAGUCAGGACACUGCAUUUUGAUACCUGUGGAACUGCAAAGAGUACUUGGAUAAGGCAGUUCACAUUAUCCUGACAACUGAUAAUGAUCCACUGGGUCAAGCUUUAGCAGAAUAGCUGGCACGGCGCCUUGGGCAAGAAAGGUUGUAUAUCCUGUCAUUUAUUUUCCAUGUUAAACAGUCUGUAAGUACCAAAUAUAUCCUGUCAAUAAUCAAGGUUCAAGACACAUAUUCAUGGUACCUCAACUACUUAAUGUAUUAUUAGGUUCAUGCAUGCAAAGGUGUCCAUAUCUAACUGAUAAAUCAAAAUGUGAACCAAAUUUGGCACUCUAAUAAUGGUUCAGAAAGUUUAUUGGAUCUAAGGGAUCUAAGGAUAGGUUAUGCAUUCUGUUCUUUUCCAACACUUGAGGCUUGUGAAAUAAUAAAUGUUCACUUUUGCUUUACUUUUUCAAUUGUGUCAUGUACUUUGCAUUUGUCUACUUAUUUGUCUACUUAUUGUAGUGCCAGCUGAAUUCAGAAAUACUGAUGAGUGAUUAUUUACUUUAUGUGCUGACGGGCUGCUUGCAUUUUAUUUAGGGAAUAGGGGCUGCAAGGUAGUUGGAAUCUGAAGGCAUACAGACACAUUUAACCUUUGUCUACAUGUAGUUGUUUUAAAAAAAUAUUUUACAGCAAGCUCUUGAGCUUAAUACAUGAAGGAUUCUGAUUAAUGGGGUACUGAGAUUCCACUUGUACCAUCUAAAGGGUACUCAGAUUAUUGUUGUAAAAAGUUGUUUGUGACAUAAAUGGGUUUCAUUUUCUUUUGUGCCUACCUGCCUUAUUUAGUCCACGAUUUUAUAGGCUAGCCUGUGAACCAAGAAUAAACAAUAAAAUGUAAAAACUAAUAAUAAGUAAACUAAAAAUUUGAAAAUUUUAUAACUUAUAUUUUUAUUUUUAAUUGAUUAAAUUUCAAUAUACAGUAAAUAUAUCAAUGAAACACAAGUCUGUUUAGUGGGUGUGGUAAAGGAAAAAUAGAAAAAGAAUGUUAUGUAGGACAACUCUGGUUGGAAGUGUCAAUGAGAAAAAUAUUGGAACAAAAAUUAAAAAAUAAAAAAUAAAAAAUAGAAAAAAAUUAGAGGACUAAAGUAGGAUGAGAAAACUUUUUUGUCAUAGAGCCCAUUUCAGUUGGUUUACUCCAAAACUUUUUUGUACCUGAGUUAGAGUACCCGUGUACCCCAUUUUUAUAAUUAUUUAUUUAUUUGCUGAUAGAAAAAACGUAGGAAUGACAAUUUAGAACCAUAUUCAAUGAAUACCUAUAAAAAUUCUCACCAUAUAUACGAUAUAUAUACCAAUCAAAUGAGUUAAGUUCUAAUGAGUAAUUACUUAAGCAUAUUCAAUGUCUUACUAUCUUUAGAGUUUCUUUAAUGAUGUCUUAGCAUAUUUUGAAAGUUCAAAAUCAAAUUAAUUCUUAACAAUAGGUUCAGGUCAUGUAGAUCUCUACAUUGUUGUUUCCUUUUGUUAUUUUCUUUUGGUUCUUUUGUUGUUGUCUUUAAUUUAUACUUCCAUAAAGCUUUUGUGGACAUUUCUGACUUUCGCCAGUAAUUGGUGUAAAUUAGGAUCCAAAAGCCUUGGUCAAGACUCAUUCAUAUUUGUUCCUAAUGAGGAAAACUUGUUGUCACAUUCCCAGGUGUGCUCUUCAAUUCUGCAAGUCCCCGUCCCUGCAAAGAUGCUAUGAUUUGAAUUUUAACAUCAAUGGGUAUCAUCAUUCAGUUGCUGUUGUUGUUGUUGUUGUUUUUCUUUUCAGAGAAAGAUGGUUCAGUGAUGCAUGGACUGGAAAGUCUAUCUUGAACAGCCAAACUUUGUAUCUGCUAUCAAAUCUUUCUUUUAUAAUAAGGAUGGAGGGAAUCGUAAAUGACACUCUUCAAUCCUUAUUUUGUUACCUUAAAUAAAUGAAUAACUAAAUGUUAGAUGCUAGUCACAGUAGUGUACCUUCUAUCAUUAUUUGUAUUUCUUUGUAUUGUGGAAUAACUUUCACGUGCAUGUGCCUAAAGUAAUUGGUUAUGUCUCAGUGAAUUGAAACAUUCAGAGUAGUACAGAUAUUUUCCUUAUGUAUACUUAUAUGGCUAUUUGCUUCCACUGGGAUGUUUUGCAGCUUUCUUAUUUUUUCUUGGAUCUCCUUGAUUUGGAUGAGGAGGCUGGCAUGAUCCAGAAGUCAACUAACCAAACUGAUCAAAAUGAGAAUGUAUUUACUUAUUAUUUCUUUGGCUUUUUUGGGAUUCAGAUUUGAGAAGAAAACAGUCUAUUCCAAAAUCCCUAAAUCAAAUGGCGGAAGAAGAAUCUGGACUACUAAUAGUCAAUUUGCAUGCAUCUCAUUGUGCAGUCAUGAACUUAGGGCUCCAAUUUUUUUUUUAUAUUUAGUAGUUUUGGAAGGAUUGAAAAAUAAAAUUAAGGAUUUUCUUUCCCCAUAUGACUACAGGUGAUCCACCCCAACAGAAGACAAGUCAAGGAAAUGAGAAAAAGAAAGAAGAUGAGAAUAUUACUCAAGGCGAUCCACCUCAAUAGGAGAGAAGUCUAAGAAUCGAGAUAGAGGAAGAACUCAAGAAUAUUACAAAAGGCGAUCCACCUCAACGGGAGAGAAGUCAAAAAAUUGGCAUAAAGAAAAAGUUCAAGAAAAUGACACAAGAGUAUGGAGAUGCGCGACAGAGUUCCAACAGGCUAGCUAGGGUUUUGAAAGUAAGAAUAACAUGAUGAUGAUGAAGAGAGAUCAAGUCUGAAAGCAAGCAGGGGCUAUUCUCGUUCUUCAACUUGCCAAGUCUGCUCAACUUGUUACUGUGAAGGGUGCAUCAAGUGCCGCUUUGAGGAUUGCAAUUGCCAAGAAUGCAGAGACUUUAUGCUAUAUGCUAAACCUUAACUAGGCUCUGCAAAGUGCCAUUUCUGAAUUGACUCAUUUGGCACCUACAUGAAGACAUGAAAACUAUAUGAUGUUGCGGAGAAACUUUGGACCUCUUUAUUACUGUUUAAGAAAGUUGUGACUUUUUUUCUUUUCCUUUGGGGAACUUCUAGAUGGUACCAUCUUGGCCUUUCAUUUGAUCAAAUCAGAACUAGUUCUCUUUGAAUAAUAUUGAGCUUGACAUGGUACUCAACUUAAAUUUUUCUUUUUUAUAUUAUCUUUUUAUACAAUUGUGUAUUGGAGGUGGAUUGAUGCUUA